Long non-coding RNA from Acinonyx jubatus (cheetah), 1029 nucleotides. RefSeq lists it as uncharacterized. The record is from RefSeq and is a predicted model, not a curated record. Lineage: Eukaryota; Metazoa; Chordata; Mammalia; Carnivora; Felidae. The transcript is spliced from 3 exons.
UCCAUAGAGCCUGGCUCUGCUGUGCAGGUGGAGGGAUGGCCAGGUCGCAGAGGAUCGGGAAAAGCCUGUACCAAGAAGCCCCUGGGGAGAUGUGGCUACACCGUGCUCCCUCCUGGUCAUUGCAGGAAUACAGAAAGCCUAGAGGAAGAAAUGACACUUGCAGGCACCAGAAUGUCUAGGGCCAGCCUGGAGAACCGGGGCGUGACAAGCCUACUGCCCGCUGACAGCUGCCUCACCUUCCACUCCUUUCCAAAGAAGAUUCGCUGGGGCGUUUCCAAGCCCCUCCCUUGCCUGCCCGCCUGGCCGAGCCUGCAGGAUACGGCUUGUCCAAACUGCACACAAUUCGAGUCUGAGGACGAGUUCGCCACCCUAGUGGGCCUGGUUCGACGAACUCUAUUCUAUCGUGCUGCUGAUUAAAGCUUUGCAACGGUCAAAGGCAUUGCCCGCUGUCCCUCGGGCAAGAUCCCCAGAAGUCUCCCAGGGAGAGCAGGUUUAGCGCAAGCUAUCCGCCUGGACCGCCGAGGUCACCCCCUGAGCAGAGUCACUGUGGCAGAACAGCCGUCCCUCCCCGAGGCUGUCCCGUGGGACUAUUCGGUCGGGAUCACGACGGUGCAGCCAGCGCCCUGCGCACGGUUAUUCCUUCCCCGGGGAGUGUCCUUCCUGGGCUCUGACCGCAGUGAAGCUCUGCCCUCCUUGCUCCCCACCUCCCGAGGCACAAAUACCGUGUGUCCCUCGAGCAGGCAAAUUCAGAGAGACCAAGAGCAGGUCGGGGAUUGCCAGGGGCUGGGGACAGGGGGGUGGGAAGUUAGUUUCAGGGAGGCAGAGCUCCAGUCCGGAAUGAUGAGCGAGUUCUGGAGACAGCGGCACAACAGUGGUAAUGCACUUCAUGCGACUGUCCCGUGCACUUCAAAGUGAUUAAAAUGGCCGGGGCGCCUGGGUGGCUCAGUCGGUUAAGCAUCCGACUCGGUUUCGGCUCAGGUCGUGAUCUCACAGUUUGUGAGUUUGAGCCCCAUAUAGGGCUCCCUGCUU